UCAUACUCAAAUGAUUAUACUUGUUGACACUUUCUGAGUUUUAAUUCACAUUAUGGAUUACAAAUCUAUGCUUUUUCUACUCUGUCUCUCUGUGCAGGUAUUGCUGUCUCCUGAGUUCUUCAGUGUCCCAACUAAGACAUUCAAACCUCAUUGCAGAGCUUAUAUCUUUCCUCACCAUCAUGUGAGUGUGAGAUUGCUCUGGAUUCUGGUUAUGUGGCCUGCAGCACCUAUAAGAACAAGCUAGUACAGUGUGCCUGCAUUCCAGCUUCUUAGA
Oreochromis niloticus (Nile tilapia) is the source of this 274-nucleotide long non-coding RNA. RefSeq lists it as uncharacterized. The transcript is spliced from 2 exons. NCBI's taxonomy places the organism in Eukaryota, Metazoa, Chordata, Actinopteri, Cichliformes, Cichlidae. The record is from RefSeq and is a predicted model, not a curated record.